Molecule: long non-coding RNA, 5718 nt
Filed under: Canis lupus familiaris (dog)
Lineage: Eukaryota; Metazoa; Chordata; Mammalia; Carnivora; Canidae
Description: lncRNA (ENSCAFG00000052743.1)
Source: RNAcentral
AUGACCCAGGGCCCCGCCGGGCGCUCCUCGCCCCAGACAACCUGGGCAAGGCCCGGCCUGGGGCGCAGGGAGCGGCGGCAGGGAGUCCGGCGGGCGGGACAGGGGCGGGCCGCGCGUGUCCUUCGUCCACGCACCCGCCGCCCAUCUUCCGUCCACGCGCCCGCCCUCUGGCCACGCGCCCCCCACGUGUCGCUCGUCCUCGUCCUCGCGCCCGCCGCCCGUGCUCGUCCACGCGCCCAUCAUUCUUCCACGCGCCUGUCCUCUGUCCCCGCGCCCCCGCGUGUCCUUUGUCCCCGCGCUCGCCACGCGUCCUUCGUCCACGCGCCCAUCGUUCCUCUACGUGCCAGUCCUCCGUCCUCGCGCGCGCCCCGGGUCCUUGGUCCAGGCACGCGCGCGGGGAGCCGCGCCUCCCGCGUCCCAGAGACCCACGCGCCCUCCGGUGGCUCAGACAGGUACUGCGUCGGGGCGCACCACUUUCCCAGGCCGGCAGUGCCCGCCCUGCGGACUCCAGCUCCUGGGCAGGCCCUGAGCCUCCCGCCCCGCCGCCAGGGCCCCAGACGAGGCUGGGCCCCAGACGACGCUGACGUGGGUCGGGCCUCCUGCCGCUUCGGAAGCGUCCCCGCCCCGACGCAGUACCUGUCUGAGCCACCGGAGGGCGCGUGGGUCUCUGGGACGCGGGAGGCGCGGCUCCCCGCGCGCGUGCCUGGACCAAGGACCCGGGGCGCGCGCGAGGACGGAGGACUGGCACGUAGAGGAACGAUGGGCGCGUGGACGAAGGACGCGUGGCGAGCGCGGGGACAAAGGACACGCGGGGGGCGCGGGGACAGAGGACAGGCGCGUGGAAGAAUGAUGGGCGCGUGGACGAGCACGGGCGGCGGGCGCGAGGACGAGGACGAGCGACACGUGGGGGGCGCGUGGCCAGAGGGCGGGCGCGUGGACGGAAGAUGGGCGGCGGGUGCGUGGACGAAGGACACGCGCGGCCCGCCCCUGUCCCGCCCGCCGGACUCCCUGCCGCCGCUCCCUGCGCCCCAGGCCGGGCCUUGCCCAGGUUGUCUGGGGCGAGGAGCGCCCGGCGGGGCCCUGGGUCAUCCUGGUGGGGAGCGCGCCCGCACCCGCACCCGCACCCGCACCCGCACCCGCCCCGGCGCCCCGGCAGCUGCCUGGUAACCGGAUUUUGGACGUUCCCGAGACGCGUGGCCCUCGCUUUUCCCCGAGUGCGUGCCCGCUUUGCACGCAGCCUUCUUAUCCCGGGGCCGAGUGAGCGCGGGCUCGCUCAGGCGGCUUUGGGGAGAAGCCGCGGUGCAUGCAGUGAGGCUGCCCUGCGGGAGAGCGCAUGGAGGGACGGCCGGACCAUCUGGGCCCUCCCUGGUGGUCGUGCUGGAGGGUUGGGGCCCGUGUGGGGAGGGCUGCCAGCUCUGAGGCCCAGCACGGUCAGGGCACGUAUGUCCACAGCCCAAGCGGCCCGCUUCCUGGAUGCCUCGGAGCCGCGAGGAAGGCUCGGGGCUGAGGGCGGGCGACCGCGCACGCUCUCAAGGAAUGGGUGCUCGCGAGCAAUCCCCCUGCAGGAGCGCUUCCUCUGGGCCAGGCCGGCCUGCUGCCCGUGGCUUCCGUGCAGCUGCAUGCGCCGCCGCGGGAAACCUGGGGAAACUGAAGGUUCAAGGAGAGACCCUGGGCGUCCUUGCAGAUACCUUCCCCGAGGUGGGGGGAGGGGGGGCAGAGGCGCGGCGGCGGGCGGGGCCUGAGCGGCUCAGUUGCUUGAGCUUGGGAUCCUGGGGGUCAGCUCAGGCCCUCAACUCAGGGUCCUGAGGUCAGGAUCUCCCGCGCUUGUCAGUCUCUCCCUCCCUCUCCCUCUGCCACCCGCCCUCCCUCAAGGGAAGAAAUCAUUCCUUGUGCAAAAGAAACUUGCCCAGGGAUGGGGUGGGAACAGCGCUGUCUUCCAAGACUGGGCAGGAAGAGUCCUGAGUCGUUUUCUGUUUCAUGGCCUCCAGGGACGAGGCCGGGGACCCCAGGGCUGUGAGCAAAGAGAGGGAGAGCAUGUGGGGGGCGCGGGUGGGGGCCGGUACAGGUCUGGAGACCUGUGCUGACGUGCACGUGACCACCCCUGUGUCCACCAGCCUGGCCCCAGACGUUGCACUAAGAACCUUUGGAUGUUGCUACACGUGAGCAUUGCAAGGGCUAUCCACUCUAGCCCGGUCGCCAUAACCCUCUGGCAUAUUCUGUGUGACCUGGGACGCGUCAUUCAGUGCUCCUGAGCCACAAGCCUCAGGCCCCUCCUCUGGACUCCGGGCAUGAGCUUUGGGUGAGGGCUGGGGGACCCGGCCUAUGCAUACGCUGCCCCCACUUGUGCGUCGGCCCGCCUAUAUACAGAAACAGAAGACGGCCAACAGUAGAGUGGCAGUGGGGUUACAAGCCGCCAGAUGGAUAGGGCUUCGCUUAAGGGGUGGGGUCCUUAGCCUUAGGCCUGUGGAGUUUCAGAGCCGAGCUGUCCCAUAGGACUUCCUGAAAUUCUGUCUCUAGAGCACUUGAAAUGUGGCCAGUGGGAAUGAGAAACUGAAUCUUUCAGAUUAAUUCAACUGAAACUGCCACACGGGACGUGCACUAUCGUAUGGGGCAGCACAGUCAUAGAGGGCCCUUGGAUGUUCAUGGACAUUUUGUAAACCUUUGACAUGGGAUGUGUGUGUGUGUGUGUGUGUGUGUGUGUGUGUGUGUUGUGUAUUUCUGGGAAGUGAGUCCAUGGCUUUCAUCAGCUUCUACUAACUGCGGAAGAUGUCAGGACCUGCAACUUUAUGGCUUUGGCAGAAAGGAAGCAAGGUAAGGGAGGUGAGUGUGGCUUCUGGAAACCACUGGUGUUCCUUCUUUCUGCUUUUGCCUGUCCUCAGCUGUGGAUGGCUUCUCGGCAUUAACUCCUAUGAUUUUGACUUCUUCAUAGUUAGUUAGGACCCCUAGCCUCGAGGUCAAUGGUGUUAAACUGAAACUGUCAUACAAACUGUUUAAUUUUUUUAAAUAUUUCUUUUCUUUAUUCAGUAGAAGGAUGAAGCGACCAGUAACAGAUUGAGAGAAUUGAAAAAACCUACUGUUUCAUGUCUUUCCUUACUAUUACUCAGAAUACUCACACUUUCUGAAACCAGAUACGGUGUGGUUUUCCCCCUAGCAAGCAACCCCGUCUGGAACCAGCUGAGUAUCCUACAAUUUCACUCAAUUCUACAGCAUCCACCCAGAGAUGGCAUUAUAUCUCAUGGGUUGAGGGCUAAUACCUGUAAGACUGCUCCAGUCCCAUUUCAGAUACUAAUAGCAAGUCCAGCAAAUCACCUGUGCUUCUGACCAUUGGUUUAUCAAUUGGGGAUGCCAGAGACCCCUCCCCCUGGGUUUGACUAAUGUGCUAGAGUGGCUCAUAGAGCAUAGGACCAGGUCUGGGAGAGUCGUGAGCACAGGGGCUUCCGUCCCCGUAGAGUUGGGAUGUGUCACCCCCUCAGUAUGCGGAUAUGCUCACCAACCUGGAAGCUUCCCUAACCUGCUACUAUUCGGGUUUUAAGGCGGCUUCAUCACAUAUGCAUGAUCAAUCAGUAACUCCAUUUCCAUCUCUUCUCCCUUCUCUUGAUGGAGGUGGAGCUGAAAAUACCAAGCUUCUAAUCUUGGAUUGGUCUUUCUGGACCAGCCCAGAUCCAGGAGCAGAUCCAGAGUCCUCUCAUGAGAAUCAAAGAUAUUUCUAGUGCUCAGGAACUUCCAGAGCCCUGUGUCAGGGACUGGAGACAAAGACCAAGUAUGUAUUUCUUAUUAUAAAUCACAAUAUCAGAAAAAGAGAGAGAGAUUCAUCAUAAGGAAUUGGCUUACAUGAUCAUAGAGGUUUGUAAGUCCCAAGAUCUGUGAGUUGGCAAGGUGGAGACCCAGAAGUGCUGACGGUUUAAUUCUAGUGCAUGUACAAAUGCCUGAGAAGAGGGGAGCCAAGGAUAGAGUUCUUGUCCAAAGACCAGCCGGCUUGAGGCACAGGAAGAGCAGCUCUUCCAAUUUGAGUCUGAAGGUGGGAUAAAAGCCAAUAUCCCAGCUCAAAAACCAUUAGGUAGGUAUUUUUUAUUGGUGUUCAAUUUUCCAACAUAUAGAAUAACACCCAGUGCUCAUCCCGUCAAGUGCCCACCUCAGUGCCCGCCACCCAGUCACCCCCACCCCCUGCCCACCUCCCCUUCCACCACCCCUAGUUCGUUUCCCAGAGUUAGGAGUCUUUCAUGUUCUGUCUUCCUUUCUGAUAUUUCCCACUCAUUUUUCUCCUUUCCCCUUUAUUCCCUUUCACUAUUUUUUUUAUAUUUGGGUCCAAGAUUAUAGCACCCAAACCAAUCAACCAACCUGAGCUCAGCUUCUUGUUCUAAGAUGCCACAUCCAGGGGCACCUGGGUUAAGCGUCUGACUCUUGGUUUUAGCUCACAUCAUGAUGUCAUGGUCGUGAGAUCAAGCCCCACAUCCAGCUCCAUGCUCAGUGGGGAGUCUGCUUGGGAUUUUCUCUCUCUCCCCCUCCACCCCUCUCUAAAAUAAUACUAUAAAUGGCAUAUCUACUCAAAAACUUGACACUGAAGCUCUGCUCUCUAUAAUUUGGUCCCUGUCCACUUGUCAUCUGCUCAUGAAAUAAGCAGUUCACGAGCACCUGCUCAAUACCAGAUAGCAUUCUAGAUUCUGGAGGCUCCGGAGUGAUGUGACAAAAAGCUAAUAGGGACUAGCUCAUAGGUCUUGGAAUUGACAGGUACAGAAAGCAGAGUGGGUGGAGGGAUGGAAGUUGGAGUGGAACAGCUGGGACAGAAGGUGUAAGAAACAGAAUUUGUAACCAGCUACCACCCCAGUGGCUGCUGGCUUAACAGAGCAGAAAAUUUACCAUGGGUGGGCCCCCAGAAUGAGUAUGGGGACAAGGGAGAGAGGCAGCACAGAGCCUGGGGUUCACAGCAGCCCCAGAAUUAAAGAAAAGAUAGCUGCACCCAGGGAGAAAGUGCACUAAGAAUAAAGUUCACCUUGGGACGGCUGGGUGCCUCAGUGGUUAAGCAUCUACCUUCAGCUCAGGGCGUGAUCCUGGAGUCCCAGGAUCGAGUUGCGCAUCGGGCGCCCUGCAUGAAGCGUGCUUCUCCUUCUGCUUGUGCUUCUGCCUCUCUAACUCUGUGUCUCUCGUGAAUAAAUAAAUAAAAUCUUUUUAAAAAAGAAUAAAUUUCAUCUUGUAUCAACAAUGUUGGUGUUGGGAGGAUGACCUGGCUGGCUUUUCUGCUCAUUACCCAAAGGGAAGCCUUCUUCCUGGGGGUUCCAUUUACUUAUACAGAGAUGCAGUCAAAUGGUCCCUUCAAGGAAGAUGAUCUUGGGGUAAAUGGUUCUAUUCAAAGGCCCAGCUGUAUCUCCUAUUCAUCAAACUCCCCCAGUCAUAAAUAUAAAUGGGAAACCAAGGAACACCAAGUAUUUGAAGGAAACUGCAACAAGAGAAGUCUAAGAUGAACAAAGUAAUAUCUUGAAGGAAAAAAAAAUAAAUAGCUUGAAGGAAACAGAUCAAAGGCCACAAAGGAUCAAAAUUAUCUUUAUAAUGAUCCCUGGGAUGCCUGGGUGGCUCAGCGAUUGAGCACCUGCCUUCGGCUCCAGUCGUGAUCCUGCAGUCCCGGGAUCAAGUCCCACAUCAGGCUCCCUUCAUGGAGCCUGCCUUUCCCUUUUCCUUCUGUCUUUGCCUGUCUCACUCUGUGUCUCUCAUGAAUAAAUAAAA